AAAAGAUAAAAUGGAGAAGAGUAAAAGGGGGCUGCAUAUUGCUACCCUAAAAUCCAGAAACGAAAAUUAGAGAGUUAAGGGAGAGAAGAGAUGUUUCUAGGAGAGAAGAGGAAGAGCUACAGAAAACCUAGUGCAAGGGAAGACUUGUAUUUUUGAAGUUAGAUAAAGCCCUAGGAUUGGCCAAGAUGGUGCUGAGGCAUGAUAGAUUCGAGAGAUGACGGGGGACAAACUUGAGAUUUUAUUUACAGUUAUUGUUUUUGAACUUUGAGACAAUGUAAUUGAAGUUAUUUUAAUUCCUUCGUUAUUUUCAUUGGACAAGUGUUUUGAAACUAUUAUGUUUUAUGCACGUUUAAAUAUUGAGAUUUCGAAA
This is a long non-coding RNA of Vigna angularis (adzuki bean), 370 nucleotides long. RefSeq lists it as uncharacterized. The transcript has 2 exons. NCBI's taxonomy places the organism in Eukaryota, Viridiplantae, Streptophyta, Magnoliopsida, Fabales, Fabaceae. The record is from RefSeq and is a predicted model, not a curated record.